GUUAGCUGUGUUAGUGAACCAGCCUAAUUAUAGGUGGGGUUAGCGGUGGUUGUACCAGUGCUAACA
Molecule: transfer RNA, 66 nt
Filed under: Pinus thunbergii (Japanese black pine)
Lineage: Eukaryota; Viridiplantae; Streptophyta; Pinopsida; Pinales; Pinaceae
Also listed under: 2 other names
Description: tRNA-Tyr
Source: RNAcentral